UACGAAGGGGGCUAGCGUUGUUCGGAAUUACUGGGCGUAAAGCGUGUGUAGGCGGCCGCGCAAGUCGGAUGUGAAAGCCCUGGGCCCAACUCAGGAAGUGCACCCGAUACUGCGUGGCUCGAGUACCGGAGAGGUUGGUGGAAUUCUCGGUGUAGAGGUGAAAUUCGUAGAUAUCGAGAGGAACACCUGUGGCGAAGGCGGCCAACUGGACGAGUACUGACGCUGAGACACGAAAGCGUGGGGAGCAAACAGG
This 253-nucleotide ribosomal RNA is filed under the name uncultured bacterium. RNAcentral's name for it is "partial 16S ribosomal RNA". It matches the Rfam family "Bacterial small subunit ribosomal RNA", at positions 524 to 776 of the family's 1533-position model. The record is from RNAcentral.